Molecule: ribosomal RNA, 1147 nt
Filed under: uncultured bacterium
Lineage: Bacteria
Description: bacterial SSU rRNA
Rfam family: Bacterial small subunit ribosomal RNA
Source: RNAcentral
GAGGAGCCUGCGUCCCAUCAGCUAGUUGGUAGGGUAAUAGCCUACCAAGGCAAUGACGGGUAGGGGACCUGAGAGGGUGGCCCCCCACAAUGGGACUGAAACACGGUCCAUACACCUACGGGGGGCAGCAGUAGGGAAUAUUAGAAAUGGGCGAAAGCCUGAUCUAGCAACACCGCGUGUGCGAUGAAGGCCUUCGGGUUGUAAAGCACUUUUUGGAGGGAAUAGGAAGGAAGGUACCUCCAGAAUAAGUCUCGGCUAACUACGUGCCAGCAGCCGCGGUAACACGUAGGAGGCAAACGUUAUCCGGAUUCACUGGGCGUAAAGCGCGUGUAGGUGGUCCUGUAAGUAGGGCGUGAAAGCUCCCGGCUCAACUGGGAGAGGCCGUACUAAACUGCAGAGCUAGAGGAUGGUAGAGGGAGGUGGAAUUCCAGGUGUAGUGGUGAAAUGCGCAGAUAUCUGGAGGAACACCAGUGGCGAAGGCGGCCUCCUGGACCAUUCCUGACACUCAGACGCGAAAGCUAGGGUAGCAAACGGAAGGAGAGACUCCGGUAGUCCUAGCCCUAAACGAUGCAGACUAGGCGUCGGCGGUUUAAUCACCGUCGGUGUCCAAGCUAACGCGAUAAGUCUGCCGCCUGAGGACUACGGCCGCAAGGCUAAAACUCAAAGGAAUUGACGGGUCCCCGCACAAGCAGCGGAGCGUGUGGUUUAAUUCGAUGCUCCGCGAAGAACCUUACCUGGGUUUGACAUAACAGUGGUAGAGAAGUGAAAACGGAUCGACCCUUCGGGGAGCUGUUACAGGUGUUGCAUGCCUGUCGUCAGCUCGUGUCGUGAGAUGUUCGGUUAAGUCCGCUAACGAGCGCAACCCGCGCUGUGUGUUACAAGUGUCACACAGUACCGCCGGUAUUAAGUCGGAGGAAGGUGCGGAUGACGUCAAGUCAGCAUGACCUUUAUAUCCAGGGCUACACACACGCUACAAUGGUCAGAACAAUAGGUUGCCAAGCCGCAAGGCGGAGCCAAUCCUCCAAAUCUGGCCUCAGUUCAGAUUGCAGGCUGCAACUCGCCUGCAUGAAGUCGGAGUUGCUAGUAACCGCAGGUCAGCAUACUGCGGUGAAUACGUUCCCGGGGAUUGCACUAAGCGCCCGUCAAG